Molecule: ribosomal RNA, 459 nt
Filed under: uncultured bacterium
Lineage: Bacteria
Description: partial 16S ribosomal RNA
Rfam family: Bacterial small subunit ribosomal RNA
Source: RNAcentral
CCUACGGGUGGCAGCAGUGAGGAAUAUUGGUCAAUGGGCGCGAGCCUGAACCAGCCAAGUCGCGUGAGGGAAGACGGUCCUAUGGAUUGUAAACCUCUUUUGUCGGGGAGCAAAAGACGCCACGUGUGGCGUUCCGAGAGUACCCGAAGAAAAAGCAUCGGCUAACUCCGUGCCAGCAGCCGCGGUAAUACGGAGGAUGCGAGCGUUAUCCGGAUUUAUUGGGUUUAAAGGGUGCGCAGGCGGAAGAUCAAGUCAGCGGUAAAAUUGAGGGGCUCAACCUCUUCGAGCCGUUGAAACUGGUUGUCUUGAGUGAGCGAGAAGUAUGCGGAAUGCGGGGUGUAGCGGUGAAAUGCAUAGAUAUCACGCAGAACUCCGAUUGCGAAGGCAGCAUACCGGCGCUAAACUGACGCUCAUGCACGAAAGUGUGGGUAUCGAACAGGAUUAGAUACCCCUGUAGUC